AUGCUUUGGAUGCUCGCCUCCCGCCAUGUCGUUGAGCUCCUCCGCCAUUGCCGCUCCAUCCGGCACCUCGACCAGCUCCACGCCCAUCUCCUCGCCCACGGCUCAUCCGGCGUGGCCCCUCUCGCCUCCCAGCUUGCCCUUCCUACUGCGCGCUCUCAGGUGCUGCUGGACACGGCUGACUCUUCCGCGCCCGUCACCUGUUCGACAGAAUUCCUGACCCGGACAGGUUCAUGCACAAAAGCCCUAUCCGGGCGUGCUCCAAUAGCAGUUGACCCCAAGAGGCGCUCUGUCUACACCGGGACAUCUUCCGGCGCGGAAUCCUACCCAACAUGUUCACGCUUCCGUUCGUGCUCAAAGGCGUGCGUGAGGGCACAGGCCGCCGAGCACGUGCUGCCCGCCGAUGGAGUGCUUGUCAACCUGGGGUAUGUGCGGCAGAUGAUCAUGCGUAACACGCUCCUGCAUUCCUAUGUGUCAACAGGGUCGCUGCGGGACUCUUGGCUGUUCUUCAGUGAGAUUGCGCCGGACAGGACGCAGGCUGGGGAGACCGGCGAGGCAUGCACCUUGUUUGGAGAGAUGGGGUGUCAGGGAGUGCUGUCCGAUGAGAUCACGUCAGCCUGCUUCGUAUGCGAGCGAGGUAAAUCAUGA
Molecule: ribosomal RNA, 645 nt
Filed under: Triticum aestivum (bread wheat)
Lineage: Eukaryota; Viridiplantae; Streptophyta; Magnoliopsida; Poales; Poaceae
Description: partial small subunit ribosomal RNA
Source: RNAcentral